CAUGCAGAUCCAUUUUCUGCCACCGAAUACAUUAGCAUGGGAUAAUGGAAUAGGACCCUGUCCUCCUAUUUUCAGUUGGUUUUGGCAGCGCGAGGACUAGGGUAAUGAUUAAUAGGGAUAGUUGGGGGCAUUAAUAUUUAAUUGUCAGAGGUGAAAUUCUUGGAUUUAUGAAAGAUUAACUUCUGCGAAAGCAUCUGCCAAGGAUGUUUUCAUUAAUCAAGAACGAAAGUUAGGGGAUCGAAGACGAUCAGAUACCGUCGUAGUCUUAACCAUAAACGAUGCCGACCAGCGAUUAGGAGACGUUGAAUACAAAACACCACCAUCGGUGCGGUCGUCCUUGGCGUUGGUCUUCAAAAGCCAGCGCGGGGGUGGCUUAGCCCGGUGGCACCGGUGAAUGACUC
Molecule: ribosomal RNA, 401 nt
Filed under: Acanthamoeba sp.
Lineage: Eukaryota; Discosea; Longamoebia; Acanthamoebidae
Description: SSU rRNA
Rfam family: Eukaryotic small subunit ribosomal RNA
Source: RNAcentral